Molecule: long non-coding RNA, 1804 nt
Organism: Pundamilia nyererei
Lineage: Eukaryota; Metazoa; Chordata; Actinopteri; Cichliformes; Cichlidae
Exons: 2
Source: RefSeq, a predicted model, not a curated record
UUGUUUUUUUCCAGAUUCAGGUUUUUCCAUUAGUUGUUUUUUUUUUUAUAGAAGAUUAUGAAUAAACCAAAAUCUUUUGAAUAAAUAAAAAAGCAUAUUACAUGACCUUUCAUUGUAUUUUGAGCACUGGUUUUCAAAAGUAAUCCGCUGGGUAUGCUAGUGUGUACUUUAAAUCAGGUGACGCGCUGGUUAUUUUAAACGCCGUGUCUGAUUAUAGUUUGAGGUCUAUUUGUCCUAAGAAGCAAAUUGUGCGAUUUGUUUGGGUAAAGAGCUUUUCCAGGGUGACUCACUGAGUUACACAUGAAAACAAAAAAUAAAGAGAAGGUGUUACAGUGGUACAUCCGACCCUGCUGCUGACCAGCAAAGCUUGUAAAACAGAGAGAGGAAAAAAAGACACUGAAAGGCGGAGGAGGUUACAGAGCGGCCCACAGCAGGCCCAUUAUCUGCCAAUUUAGGACAGUUCACUUCCUUGUCAGCAUCCUGGUCUCUGGCAAAAAUCUCUGUGUCAUCCCUCUUUGUCUUGUUAUUGGAGCUGGUUGUCAAGUUAGGUCAGAGAACAGGAAUAACCAAUGAGCAGCACCUUCCCUCUCCUCUCUCCCUUCCUCUAUCAUUUUCCAGAGCUCGAUGCAGAGGAGGAGAGGAGGGUUAGAGCGGAGGAUGAUAUAAGCGCAGAGUUUUAAUGAGGAUCCACUUAUCUGUCACUCAUACUCCUUUCAUUGUUCCCCUCCCCCAGUUAGCGAGAUAGCAGGAGCGAGCUUGGGGUGGUGGGGGCAGCAAAGUCAGGGUCGAGGGGGGAGUAGCACAUCACUUAUUUAUAGGUUAUAAAACCUUGCUCCCUCCUAUAUGGUCCAGUCUGCUUUUAGUUUUUUUAGUUGUUGUUUUUUUGUCUUCUUUGAAAUCUGUUUCACUUCCAUGAUAACUCGGCCUCCCUUUAGCAGCAAAUGCACGAGGGAGAGGAGUGAGAGGAGCUGAGGUUUAGUUACAGUGUGGCAAUCUGACAAUGUGCGUAUGUGUGUGUUUGUGUGUAAGCCAAUUAGCAUUCCCCUUGUUCACUGUCCCUUCUCGCUGUGUGUGUGUGUGUUAUUAAUAAAACAUACAGCAGAUGUUCCAAAGGAGCAUUUUAUCCAUAUGAUCAUUUUUAUUUAUAGAGCCCUAUUAAAUCAACGAUCCAUUCUAUAGAGCGGAGUUUGCAUGUGCUGUUUUUCUUUUUUUGUUAGGUCUCAUAAAAGAAUUGGAAAUUUUGUUGAAUCUUUCUCUCGUGCAUUGUGUUGCCCUGUCCUAACUACAGGCACAAACACGGGGCUGGACGAAAAGCCUCUAUGGUAUGCUUGUUCUUGGUUUGCGUUGCCUUGUGUGCGGGCUCUGUGCAGACGAGUUGAAUCCUGUUUUAUAAGUGAAUGUGUGCUCAGGUGUCGCCACACAAUCAGGCGGUUAGUGCGUUGCAUCGUAUAUGUGCAUAAUUAGGCUUGUGUGAGAGCUCCGCGAGGUCACGUAUAGGGUAAAGGCUGAUGCGCUGACAGCUGUGCUCUGUUGUGGCAGGUGUGUCGGGGCUGUAUAUGUAUGAGAACAACACGCCCGUGCCUGCAGCAGGACAUGAGCCUGCAGUACGUGUGCUCAGUGUGCAGGAAACUGUGCAGCUGUUGUUUGUAUGCUUUUGCCAGUGACUAGAGAUAUUGGAGUCAAGAUGUCAGCUUAAGGGAUGCCGAAGUGACCUCUGUGAUGACGAGUCAAAGAAAUCUACAACCUCCCCAGUUUGUCUGGUAAGAGCAAGAGGAUUGUGAUGACAAUAAAUCCAUGUCAGUAA